Molecule: ribosomal RNA, 503 nt
Filed under: uncultured bacterium
Lineage: Bacteria
Description: bacterial SSU rRNA
Rfam family: Bacterial small subunit ribosomal RNA
Source: RNAcentral
AUUGAACGCUGGCGGCAUGCCUUACACAUGCAAGUCGGACGGCAGCGCGGGCUUCGGCCUGGCGGCGAGUGGCGAACGGGUGAGUAAUACAUCGGAACGUGUCCUGUAGUGGGGGAUAGCCCGGCGAAAGCCGGAUUAAUACCGCAUACGAUCUACGGAGGAAAGCGGGGGAUCUUCGGACCUCGCGCUGUAGGGGCGGCCGAUGGCAGAUUAGCUAGUUGGUGGGGUAAAGGCCUACCAAGGCGACGAUCUGUAGCUGGUCUGAGAGGACGACCAGCCACACUGGGACUGAGACACGGCCCAGACUCCUACGGGAGGCAGCAGUGGGGAAUUUUGGACAAUGGGGGCAACCCUGAUCCAGCAAUGCCGCGUGUGUGAAGAAGGCCUUCGGGUUGUAAAGCACUUUUGUCCGGAAAGAAAACUUCGCCGCUAAUACCGGUGGAGGAUGACGGUACCGGAAGAAUAAGCACCGGCUAACUACGUGCCAGCCGCCGCAGUAACAC